GCGGGGGUAGGGCAGCCAGGUAGCCCGCCGGGCUCAUAACCCGGAGGUCCCCGGUUCGAAUCCGGGCCCCCGCCCCA
This 77-nucleotide transfer RNA is filed under the name bacterium. RNAcentral describes it as "tRNA-Met". It matches the Rfam family "tRNA". From Rfam's summary of the family: Transfer RNA (tRNA) molecules are approximately 80 nucleotides in length. Their secondary structure includes four short double-helical elements and three loops (D, anti-codon, and T loops). Further hydrogen bonds mediate the characteristic L-shaped molecular structure. tRNAs have two regions of fundamental functional importance: the anti-codon, which is responsible for specific mRNA codon recognition, and the 3' end, to which the tRNAs corresponding amino acid is attached (by aminoacyl-tRNA synthetases). tRNAs cope with the degeneracy of the genetic code in two manners: having more than one tRNA (with a specific anti-codon) for a particular amino acid; and 'wobble' base-pairing, i.e. permitting non-standard base-pairing at the 3rd anti-codon position. The record is from RNAcentral.